GCUCUGAAGAUUCUCAGCUUCUAUUGUAUCUGCAAGGUGGCUUUAGUGCAGUGCAUCUCCCCGCGUGUGCAGCUCCACACUCAGUGUGCUUGUGUUGUAACCUCGCAUUAGGCCGCACCGGAAGCAGUUACACGGGGGAAAUCAGCAGGCGCUAGGAAUCAAGGCUGGUCCUCUCCCUCCUCCCAGCUGGCGAACAAACAUGGAUAGCACAGCACGGGUUACUUCUUUACUUCUUGAAAUUCCCUGGCAGUUUUAAAAUAUCAUUUAGAUUAAACCCGAGAGUGGAAGAGCCUGGGGAGACGGAAACGAGAGUCAUACACUCACAAUGGCCCCCCUGGGAGAACAGCAGCACUGUGCUCUGAAGGAAGCAGCGCCCUCCAGUGAUGGCGCCUGGCGCAUCCGUGGGCCGGGUAAUGAAUGCUUGUGAAAUAUUUCACAAGCAUCAAGUGCUGCAUCAAUGCUGAGACAUAAUGGUGCCAUUAUGGCAGGACAGGACGCUUCAUUACACACCCUGGCAGUGGGGAUUCUCACGUGGGAGACGUUUGCUGAGUCUUGGCAUUCCAUCAGGCCCUGCGCUGCCACGGUGAGGGCCACAGGUGUAUGAGGGGCUGCACCAGCGUUAGCAGGCAGAACGAGAGGCUAUCAGUGCACCUCGCCUCCCCAUUUCCUCUCCACCCCUGAGAGAGACCAGCCCGCCAGAGAGCUGCAGCCCCCAUGGAUUCUCUGCAAAGCUGUGCGCACUGGGAGUUUCCCUCUGCGUGGCCACCUCCACUCUCACACUCUGGUCCCGCAACCCCAGCCAUGAUGCUUCAAAGAAUAUACAGAUGCUUCCGGCCCUGGAAGGCUGCUUUGCCAGAGCCCAAACAGCAUGAAAUGAGCUGGCGAAACGCCAGGACAGUCACAUCAGAGUCCCGGCAAAGGGCCAGGCAGGGCCUCCAGCUCUGGAGCUGACCCUUGUGAUGAGGAUGCCGGGGUAACUGCAAACUGCGCUGUGCACUUAGUGGCGGCGUGGUCCGGAGUCUUUCAGAGAUGGCUGUGAGGCCACAUCCCCGUGUCACAACCCGCUGUUCCCAACUUCUCUGCCCAUCCUUGGAUCCGCGGGGACAAUCACGAUGGCCGAGGUGUGAGGAUGCGUGUGUCACGCCUCCUGCUUCGCGCUCCUGGCCCUUCUCAGAACUCGUCUCAUUCCCUCCCUGUCCCGCC
RNAcentral lists this long non-coding RNA (1203 nucleotides) under Fukomys damarensis (Damara mole-rat). Its description in RNAcentral is "lncRNA (ENSFDAG00000030017.1)". Lineage: Eukaryota; Metazoa; Chordata; Mammalia; Rodentia; Bathyergidae. The record is from RNAcentral.